CUACGGGAUGCAGCAGUGGGGAAUCUUGGACAAUGGGCGCAAGCCUGAUCCAGCCAUGCCGCGUGAGUGAAGAAGGCCUUAGGGUCGUAAAGCUCUUUCGCCAGAGAUGAUAAUGACAGUAUCUGGUAAAGAAACCCCGGCUAACUCCGUGCCAGCAGCCGCGGUAAUACGGAGGGGGUUAGCGUUGUUCGGAAUUACUGGGCGUAAAGCGCGCGUAGGCGGAUUAGUCAGUCAGAGGUGAAAUCCCAGGGCUCAACCCUGGAACUGCCUUUGAUACUGCUAGUCUUGAGUUCGAGAGAGGUGAGUGGAAUUCCGAGUGUAGAGGUGAAAUUCGUAGAUAUUCGGAGGAACACCAGUGGCGAAGGCGGCUCACUGGCUCGAUACUGACGCUGAGGUGCGAAAGUGUGGGGAGCAAACAGGAUUAGAUACCCGUGUAGUC
This 439-nucleotide ribosomal RNA is filed under the name uncultured bacterium. RNAcentral's name for it is "partial 16S ribosomal RNA". It matches the Rfam family "Bacterial small subunit ribosomal RNA", at positions 339 to 795 of the family's 1533-position model. The record is from RNAcentral.